This is a long non-coding RNA of Bubalus bubalis (water buffalo), 272 nucleotides long. RefSeq lists it as uncharacterized. The transcript is spliced from 3 exons. Lineage: Eukaryota; Metazoa; Chordata; Mammalia; Artiodactyla; Bovidae. The record is from RefSeq and is a predicted model, not a curated record.
CAGCACCUAGCCUCUGGUGCAGUAGAGAAACUAAAUGAGCGUGGGGAAAAUGCCCUAAAAUACGCGUGGACGUUUCCAAGCGGCCACGACGCUGAGAAAGUUCGUUUGUGAAAGCAACAGGGCUUUGAAACUCGGCCACACCUCCUGACAAGAGAAACCAGAGGAAGAGCCCAUUUUUAUCGAGUGACCCUCUGUCCAGAGCAACAGGUGCAGGACUUUCCUGGUGGCUCAGACGGUAAAGCGUCUCGCUUACAAGGCGGGAGACCUGGGUU